RNAcentral lists this ribosomal RNA (254 nucleotides) under uncultured bacterium. Its description in RNAcentral is "partial 16S ribosomal RNA". It matches the Rfam family "Bacterial small subunit ribosomal RNA", at positions 524 to 776 of the family's 1533-position model. The record is from RNAcentral.
UACGUAGGGGUCUAGCGUUGUCCGGAAUCAUUGGGCGUAAAGAGCUCGUAGGCGGUUCGGCAAGUCGGAUGUGAAAUCUCCACGCUCAACGUGGAGGGGCCAUUCGAAACUGCCGUGACUCGAGUCCGGUAGGGGAGUUCGGAAUUCCCGGUGUAGCGGUGAAAUGCGUAGAUAUCUGGAGGAACACCGGUGGCGAAGGCGGCGUCCUGGACCAACACUGACACUGAUGAGCGAAAGCCAGGGGAGCAAACGGG